This 586-nucleotide long non-coding RNA is filed under the name Eucalyptus grandis. Its description in RNAcentral is "long non-coding RNA (EGRA_LNC001701)". The record is from RNAcentral. Lineage: Eukaryota; Viridiplantae; Streptophyta; Magnoliopsida; Myrtales; Myrtaceae.
GCAGGUGAUACGCAUUGUGAUUCCUACUUCCAGAUCGGUGCAUUUUAAGUCAAGCAGUGCUGAAGAGUGAUGAGCUAUAUUCAAGGUUACUCGUUCAGUCCAAAAAAGUGCUAAACCUCCUGCCAAUCCAACUGGAUUUUCUAGAAAAACAUCUGAGAAUCUGAGUUUCCGUUGUAAGUUAAGUAGCAUUGUUUCCUGGUUCUUUGUUUCCAUUAAAAACAAAAUGUCGGGCUUUUCCUGGGUCACUAAGACCUUUAGUGCUUGAACUGUCAGGGGAUUGCCCAAACCCUGACAGUUCCAACAUACUAACUUCAUUGUUCACCUGGUGGCUUUUUAGGGCCAGCCACCAGGGCCCAACAUGCAGAAGCAUCAACUUCAUGGACUGGGGUCUCUUGUAACAGUGAUUCAUCAAGUCCCUGUUGAAACUGAGAGCGAACAUCAGAGGUAAUAAGUCUUUUGGCUUUCUUAUUGGGCCUGAUCUCGUAUUCAGGCGUGGGCUUUUAACUUUCUUGGACUGAAUUGUAGCAACUACACUUUCAGGAGAUGUGAUGUGCUUUUGAUAGGAAGGAAGCCUGUGCUGUGGGAA